CCCCGUACGAGCGGCGGACGGGUGGAGUAACACGUGGACAAUACCUGCCCCCCGGCCCCGGGGACGUAGCCCAGGGAAACCUGGAUUAAUACCGGAUGAGACGGGACCCGCGAUGGCGGGAUCCGGGAAAGGCGCUGCGGCGCCGCCGGGGGAGUGAGUCUGCGUCCCAUUAGCUAGACGGCGGGUAACGGCCCACCGUGGCGACGAUGGGUAGCCGGCCUGAGAGGGUGGACGGCCACAUUGGAACUGAGACACGGUCCAGACUCCUACGGGAGGCAGCAGCUAAGAAUCUUCCGCAAUGGGCGGAAGCCUGACGGAGCGACGCCCGCGUGAACGAAGAAGGCCGUGAGGUUGUAAAGUUCUUUUCGGGAGGGGGAACAACCGUGGCAGGGAAUGGCCGCGGGAUGACGUGAAUCCCGGAAUAAGCCCCGGCUAACUACGUGCCAGCAGCCGC
RNAcentral lists this ribosomal RNA (454 nucleotides) under uncultured bacterium. RNAcentral describes it as "bacterial SSU rRNA". It matches the Rfam family "Bacterial small subunit ribosomal RNA", at positions 85 to 518 of the family's 1533-position model. The record is from RNAcentral.